UUGGCUACACAUUGAUGUUUUGUCUUGGUCUGGGAAUACUUUGCGGUGCUAUUGGCUACCUAGGAUCAACUCUUUUCGUGAGGAGAAUCUACAGAAACAUCAAAUGUGAUUAAUUUCCUGCUACACAUGUGGGGUGGGGGUGGAGCAGUAUCAGAUCAAAUCAUAUACGUGGAAGCGAGGCCUUCAGAAUUGAUUAAUGCUAGUUCCUGAUUAGGGUUUCAGAACUACGUCACGUUUGCUUAUUCCAUCACACCCCUUCUUUUUGCAUACUUAUUUGUUCCCUGGAGCUGCUCUCAUAGUGUAUACAUCUAUGGUAGCUGAGUUCAGUACAAGUGGAUGGUGCAGGUUCUUAUUUUUCUUUGUUUCUUGCCUUUUUUUUGUUGCAUUCCUCCUUUUCAAAUGAGAAAGAAAUAGGAAGUGAGUAUCCAUGCGGCAAUGUCUGGACUUCCCCUCUGAAUCGUUACAUCCAAUUUAAGGAUGGCAUGUACUACGUGAGAUCUGUGUAUUUAUAUACAUAUAUCAACAUUUAAUGCAUGAGAGUGUAUAUGUGUGUCCUCUUAUCAUGUUCGAGAAAAACGG
This 579-nucleotide ribosomal RNA is filed under the name Triticum aestivum (bread wheat). RNAcentral describes it as "partial small subunit ribosomal RNA". The record is from RNAcentral. Lineage: Eukaryota; Viridiplantae; Streptophyta; Magnoliopsida; Poales; Poaceae.